AAUUACAGCAUAGUUUAUAUAUGCAGGGAUCUUUCAGGAAGGAUUUAUAAUUAAGUAGCUUUUUAAAACUGUAAGUUAAAUCAUGGUGUCUUUAGUUCUCUACUAAAUCAAGGGAAGUUUAUAAGGAAAUUAAAUUGAAUAAUUCUAAAUAAAAAACUUUAACUCCUUCAAAGUAAGUGCCCAGAAAGUUAACAAAAUAGUAUAGUCUCCAACUGAUUUAUGGUAAAAAAUAUCUGAACUAGAGGAUCCUUCAAGGGAAGGCAAAGAGAGUCCUUUUUAUAGCAGCCGGAUAAAAGUCUCCCACAGUGACACCUUUAUUCAUCUCCUGUCAGAAGAAAAACACUAUAGGACCAGGCUUCAAAGCUGCAAAUAAACUGUGAGCUGUUGUCAGCGCUAAGCUACAGAUUGGCACAACCUGACAAUCAGCAAUGGAAGGGACUCACAGAUCUGUCAGAGUUGGGAGGGAGCACUGCUUUGCUUUUCCAACACGAAUAUAAAUCAACCCCAUGGCUUCUCCAUCAACAGUUGGGAGAAGAUGACAGUUGCUGAUGCUGUGAUCGCUUCAUCUAUUUUUGCUGAUGUACUGCUCAGUGCUACAAUUUGGUUCUACUAAUUGAUUCCUCCUACAAGAAAACAGCUGAUGAACACCUAUUUUAAAAUGUAUGCCUAAAUAGGGUUGAUCUGCUACUCUUUUAAGACUGCAGCUACUUUUGAUUACUUAACAUAACAAUAAGCAUCUUAGUCACUCAGUUGCCGUAGGUAACGCUGUGUAACACUUGCAUAUUCUCUCACUAUUCCUUGUUGUAACCAUUAGUAUCUGAGGAAAAAUCAAUUUGUUAUUCAAAUUUUGGACUCUCUUUGUAUGUUUCUACUUCCACUUUUCCAUGCAAUGAUAGAAGAUAGGUGAUAUUAGCUGUGGCUGGAAAUGGUUUUAUAUGAUGUCUAGUCCUUUUCUUCAUCCCAAUUCUGGCUGCUGUGAAGUCAGAAAUAUAGAAUAAAUACAAUUGCUCAUACAUGAGAAUUUGCCUGUACAAUUUUAUUUCACAAUUACAAAAGGAUGUUCUUUUCUGAAAACUCAGUUGGACUAGUACUGUAGCAAAUUUUAUAAAUGAAAGAGUAAUUGAUAAAAAAAUACAUUUUAAAAACAAGAUACGUAUUGUUAUCCCAUGCUGUAGGGAAACCAAGGACCUCAUUGCUGUAGAGGGGAGCAAAAUCCAAAAAUGUCCUAAAUCAUUUGGGACAGUGCAAUGGGAAGCAAUGCUUUAAUUGCAAAGGAAAUAGAAGAAGGCUUGGUGUGGGCCUUAGCUGCCUUGACAGAAGGAUAUCCAUGACCAUGGUGAGAGGAUUCCUUUUCCUGCCAAGUGGUAACUUGUACAUAGGGGGGUAGUUGUGAGUGGGAAACUCCACUGCUUUGGGAGAGUGUCUGUGAAAAUUCAAGAGGUGAAGAAAGAUGCUUGUGGAAAUGAGGACAGGGUAAAGAGCUGAUACCUUUUCUCUAGCAGAGGAUUCAGUGACUGACAGCUCCACUAGACUGCAGUUCAGUUCUGCAUUAUCUCAUCCAUUUUGCUCCUUCUUCAGCCUCUGC
Molecule: long non-coding RNA, 1585 nt
Organism: Ficedula albicollis (Collared flycatcher)
Lineage: Eukaryota; Metazoa; Chordata; Aves; Passeriformes; Muscicapidae
Source: Ensembl